GGGGGGGGCAGGCAGGGAAAGGGGGUGCUCAGGAGGGGCUUGGGGAGCGGGUGGGGGCCAGCACCGUCCUGGAUGUGCCGGAGCCCUUGGCACCAGCCCCCGGCUGCUCCGUGUGUCCGGUGUUGGGCCUGGCACGAGCGGGAGGUUGUGUGUCCCCGGGAUCCUCCUUGCACCCCAGGGGGGGUCUGUGGAUUUAUCCCCGCCAGCCCCCACCCCAUUGCCCCGUGCUCGGAGCCCUGUCUGUGUCUGUCCGUCCUCCCCACCCCGUGUCUGUGUGUCCCCGUGGGCUGUGGCCGUCGUUCCUCCCUGGUUUCCUGCGUCUCCUCCCGUUUUCCCGUCACGUGCGUCUCCGUUUCCCCUCCGGCGUUGCCCCCCAUCACCCCAGGCCUGGCAGUGGGUCCCGGCCGUGCCCACCCGGUGCCUCGGCCGAGCCCGCGGUGACUCGGGGCUCGUGCCAUGGCGUGGUGGCCACCCAUCGCCACCAAAGCGCCUUUGAGGUGCCGUUUGCACCCCGAGACUCAGGUGUGGGAGUUAAUUUACUCUGUGGCUGCUUAACGAUGGUGCUCUCCUGUGGUCUGAGCGGCCUGAGCCGGGCCAGGGCCUCUCGGGCUGUCCCCGUCCCUCUGUCCGCCAGGCCGGGCUCCGUCCGUCUGUCCGGCUGUUUCCCGUCUUCGCCAUUUCCUUUCCCCGUGGGUCUGGGUCAGCCUUUGUCCCUCUGUCAGCCCCAACCCGGCUGUUUCCGUCCCCGUCCCUGCCUGUGCCAGUCCCCGGCACUCCUGUCCCCCUGUCCUGGUGUUUCCUGUCCGUGUGUCCGCUCCUCCUCCUACAUCGUCUGUCCUGCCAUCCCCGUCCUGCCGUCCCCGUCCUGCUGUCCCUCUGCCCACUCCCUCUGUGCCCCCAGUCCAUGUCCCUCUGUCCUGGCUUAUCCUUGUCCCUGGGUGCCCUAUCCCUGUCCUGGUUUCUGGAUGUGUUUCUUGUCUCAUCCCAGUCCCCGGGUGUCCCCUGUCCCAGUCCCUGAAUGUCCCCCUUGCUUGGUCCUGGUCCCUGGGUGUCCCCUACCCAUCCCUGGGUGUCCCAUCCUUGGGUGUCCCCGAAUGUCCCUUGCCUACUCCAGGUCCCUGGGUGUCCCCUACCCAUCCCUGAGUGUCCUAUCCCCUUAUGUCCCCUGCCUUGUCCCUGGGUGUCCCCUAACCACCCCUGGGUGUCCCUUGCCUAGUCCCUGUGUGUCCCCGACCCAUCCCCUUAUGUCCCUUGUCUUGUCCCUGGGUGUCCCCUGCCCAUCCUUCUUGCCUCAUCCCAGUCCCCGGGUGUCCCCUGUCCCAGUCCCUGAAUGUCCCCCUUGCUUGGUCCUGGUCCCUGGGUGUCCCCUACCCAUCCCUGAGUGUCCUAUCCCCUUAUGUCCCCUGCCUUGUCCCUGGGUGUCCCCUAACCACCCCUGGGUGUCCCAUCCCAGUCCUGGUCCCUGGGUGUCCCAUGCCUUGUCCCUGUGUGUCCCCUACCCAUCCCCUUAUGUCCCUUGUUUUGUCCCUGGGUGUCCCCUACCCAUCCCUGAGUGUCCCAUCCCUGAGUGUCCCAUCCCUGUCCUGGUGCCUGGGUGUCCCUUGCCUGGUCCCUGGUGUCCCCUACCCCUCCCUGAGUGUCCCAUCCCUGAGUGUCCCAUCCCUGUCCCAUCCCCUUCUGUCCCCUGCCUUGUCCCCGGGUGUCCCCUACCCACCCCUGGGUGUCCCCAAAUGUCCCUUGCCUGCUCCAGGUCCCCGGGUGUCCCCUGCCCAUCCCGGUCCCCGGCCUGUUCUCGCUCUGGUCCCCGUCCCGGCGCUCCCUCGGUGCCGGUCCCGGUGCCGGUGGCCUCGGUCCCUCCCGUCGGG
Molecule: long non-coding RNA, 1865 nt
Filed under: Calidris pugnax (ruff)
Lineage: Eukaryota; Metazoa; Chordata; Aves; Charadriiformes; Scolopacidae
Description: lncRNA (ENSCPUG00000014382.1)
Source: RNAcentral